Molecule: long non-coding RNA, 509 nt
Organism: Mauremys reevesii (Reeves's turtle)
Lineage: Eukaryota; Metazoa; Chordata; Testudines; Geoemydidae
Exons: 4
Source: RefSeq, a predicted model, not a curated record
AGUGUUCACGUGGGGCUCAGAUAGCCGCAGCAGAUGGCCUGGAGAGGCUGCUUUUCCCCCCUCGCUCGCCAGGUGGCAGAAAGCCUUGGCAUGAUGGAGAAAUUCAUAAGGGAACAAAGAGAACUCUUUGGGAUUCCAUCCCAUCUGCCUGUCUCGCCCGGACAUAAGCACCAGGACUUUGCCCUGAGGAGGCCAUUUGGACACUGAACCCACUGUCAUUGCCCGGAGGGGAGAAAAUUGCAGGGGCUGGACAUAAGUCGGACCUGCUGAGGAUAAACCUGGAACCAGCCUCAUUCAUCUGCUGCAAGCAAAGCACAUUUCAUCUGAUGCUCACAUGGCUGAAGUUUGCCUUUCCUCAGAGGCCAGAGUCCCUGGGCAUGAACGACCUCUCUCGACUCUCAUCUGUCACUCAGAAUCCCCCGGGGAAAUGCCCCGCUGCUCGCUCCUUAGCAUCUGACAGUACUGCGCAGCUCUGUGCUGGUCUCCGGCAGCAGACACGUGGACCAGAA